This 253-nucleotide ribosomal RNA is filed under the name uncultured bacterium. RNAcentral's name for it is "partial 16S ribosomal RNA". It matches the Rfam family "Bacterial small subunit ribosomal RNA", at positions 524 to 776 of the family's 1533-position model. The record is from RNAcentral.
UACGGAGGGUGCAAGCGUUAAUCGGAAUUACUGGGCGUAAAGGGUGUGUAGGCGGUUGCUUAAGUUUGGUGUGAAAUCUCCCGGCUCAACUGGGAGGGUGCGCCGAAUACUGAGUGACUCGAGUGCGGGAGAGGAAAGUGGAAUUCCUGGUGUAGCGGUGAAAUGCGUAGAUAUCAGGAGGAACACCGGUGGUGUAGACGGCUUUCUGGACCGUAACUGACGCUGAAACACGAAAGCGUGGGUAGCAAACAGG